UACGAGAGGCCCAAACGUUAUUCGGAUUUACUGGGCUUAAAGAGUUCGUAGGCGGCGCGGUAAGUCGGGUGUGAAAUCUCGGAGCUUAACUCCGAAACUGCAUUCGAUACUGCCGUGCUUGAGGACUGGAGAGGAGACUGGAAUUUACGGUGUAGCGGUGAAAUGCGUAGAUAUCGUGAGGAAGACCAGUGGCGAAGGCGGAUCUCUGAACAGCUCCUGACGCUGAGGCGCGAAGGCUAGGGGAGCAAACGGG
RNAcentral lists this ribosomal RNA (253 nucleotides) under uncultured bacterium. Its description in RNAcentral is "partial 16S ribosomal RNA". It matches the Rfam family "Bacterial small subunit ribosomal RNA", at positions 524 to 776 of the family's 1533-position model. The record is from RNAcentral.